Molecule: non-coding RNA, 241 nt
Organism: Pelobates cultripes (western spadefoot toad)
Lineage: Eukaryota; Metazoa; Chordata; Amphibia; Anura; Pelobatidae
Source: the annotation of a GenBank genome assembly
CCUCUGUCUAUUGGCAAGGACAUAGGCUUGCACCUCCAAAAAGGUCCUGCUGACAAUCUCCAAUGAGGGUGGCUUUCAGUAAUAUGCCAGGUGCCAUUACACCUCCUUGCGCACUUCCUGCAAAUCUCCUGCUGCUCGCCUGUCUGCAGCAUAACUUCGGCCUUCCCGCUCACCGCCACGUGAGACUGUGCAAACAGCAGCAGGCGAUAGUGGAGUUUCAGCUGCAGCACGCACACGUGUC